ACAGGCGUGCAGGGCCAGGGGCUGGGGGAGGCGGGCGCAGCUGCCAGAGGAAGUCUGCGGUCGGAACAGGCUAGGUGGGGGGUGUCGGGGGAGGGGUGCUGAGGUGCAGCCAGCUUCCCCCACCACCCCAGGCUGUCCGCCCAGGCUCCAGGAAUGCAAGUUCCCGCUCACAGGAAGACCAGGUCUUCUGCCUCAGUUUCCCUGCCUGACAAUCCAGGGGAGCAAUGCCUGUGGGGCUGCUCACUGCCCCCAGACCUUCUGCACAUGUGUGACUCCUGUGACAUCAUCUGUCUCCAGGUUUCCAGACUUCUCAGCCCCACCCUUGCAGCAGCAGGUCAGCCUGGCUUUUAGAAAGAGAAUUUUAUUUGGAAUGAAAAUAUAGAGCCCACCCUCCCGCCUCCUCUGGGGAGGGAGCAGAGGGCUGGGCAGUGGUCGGGGAGAUGGUCCCUCAGAGGUCGAGGAGCUCGCCUGGGCGUAGACAUCCUCCACAGGAACAGUGAGGAAAGCUGGGCGCUGGCUUCGGCCUGGGCCUGGGACGGGUGGGGGUGGGAACUGACCUCUGCGCUGCCUCAGAGGCUCUGGGCAGCCAGCUAGCCCAGUGCGACCCACUGGCAGAAGCUGAGUGGGAAGGGGGCGGAGGAGGAGAUGAAGGUGGCGUGUGGCUGUGGCCCUACGCAUCCCCGUUCUCCAUGCGGCCCAGCUGCUCCUCCAGGCGACAGAUGCGGUCGCCCUGCUCCUUGACCAGCGCCCUCAGGGCCCGCAGCUCCUGCAUCACCUCCUCCAGCUUCCCAGCCUCCUGUGGGGACAUGAAGCAGGUGUAGGGGGUGGUGGUCAGGGGCUGCUAAGCCAUAGCCCUCCCAAACCCACCACUACCCCAGAGAGGGACAGCGAAUGGCUGAGGCCCACACAGCAGGCCAGGGCCACACCUGGGGCUCCCAGCACCACCCCUGCCUGCGGGUGCAUACCCCGGCUCUGGCCAGGCUGCCGCUGGGGGUGGCAUCAGCAGCAGUGGUGGUGGAGGCGGGGGCCCCUAGGUGGGAGGAGCCCGGGGCCAUGGCGGGCCGGCUGUCAGACAACACGUUGCGCCGGCUGAUCUUCAGGUCCCGCUGCUUGCUGGGCACGUAGGCCUCCCUCAGUGAGAUGAGGAUCGGGUCGGCAUCCCGCCCGCUCACCCACUCCUCAGCCUCCAGGGCUGCCUCGGGCCCGGCUGUGUCGGGGUACAGAUCAUCCUGGAAGAGGUCCGACUGGGCAGGGGGCCGGGGAGGUCAGGAUCAGUUAGGAGGCCCCAUCAGGGUCCCCUCAUCCCUCCCCUGGCCUCCAGGCUUGCACUCUGUUAACCCAUUCUCCCACGACCUGGAAAGCUCAAAUCUGGCCUUUCACUUCCUUUCUGGACAACAUCAACAGCUCCCUCGGAAGCUUUCCCACCCUUCUGAGCAAGGCCCCUGUCAUCACCUUCCCCUGCAAGGCACAGGGGCCACUAUGUGGCUUUAUGGGAUUCUGGGGCCCAUGGACUGUGAGCUCCUGGAGCAGGCCCUAUCAGCUCAGCUCCACUCCCCAAAAUGUGCCUGGCAUGUUGAAAGAGCAGUCGGCAAAUGCUGGCCAGAGAAUCAUGGAAGCGUGUCCGAGGCUCUUGGCAUCUGAGGCCAAGCCACAUGUGGCCCGGUCCCCUCUUCAUGGGAUUCCCCACUGCAGCCAGACUCCUUGUUCCCCUCUCCAUUCCCACCACUGUGCCCUUCGCCUGGCCUGCCCCCAGUGGAUGGCGCCACCCCAGCUGUGCUAUGGGUCCUGCCUCCUUCAGGAAGAUCUGCGUGGCUGCCACUCCCUCCCUGACUGCCUGGUGUCCUUCUCCUGUGGCUCGUCCAGAGCAGGGCCCCUGCUCACCCUCUGUCUCAUCCCCACUUGCCCCCUGACUGGCACAGCCCAACAGCUGGCUGGUACAAGGGCAAGCUGGCAUCUGUCCAGCUCACUGCCCACAAACCAUACUAGGUCAUGUUCCAUUCACAGGCCUCGCCCUGGUCACAACUGCAUGGCCCGCUUGCUGGAGAAAGGGCCAAGUGAGCCGAGGGACGGGCGGCCUCACCUUUCUUGGCACAGUCAUGACGAUGGGCUCACACUUGCGCUCAUGCAGUUUGUAGAACCUGGGGAUGCAAGGAGGAGCCACGGGUGGAACCCUCACCGCCCCCCCCACCCACCGCCAGCUCUCCUGGCAUCCUCCACUUCCAGUCCUCACCCCAGGACCUCCGCAGGCUGACCCCUAAGGUGGCUAGACCCCCACACGGGCUGCCUCGUGACAGUUCUCAUGGCCCGCCGGGCCUCCCUGGCGCAAGGUUUCCUGCUCCCAAGCAGCCUCCAAUGACCUGACCUCUCACCUUAGAUGCCCCUGUCCCCGAGUGGCCUCGGUAGCCCUCUUACCGGGCGAUCUCGCACUUGCUGACCUCCAGGCCCCGCUUGGGCAUGCUGCCCAUACCCCGCUGCGGCUCCUUGCUGGUGAACGUGUUCAGGAAGUGGAUGUAGGGAGGCUCCUCUGUGAUCUCAAAGUACCGGAUGCUGGAGUCACCCUGUGUGGGGAGGGGGCUCAGCACCUGGGCACGCCUCUUCCCUGCCCCUCCCCAGCCCUGCCCAGCCCCACCUUGCCGCAGACGUAGACCACACUGGUGUCGGGGUCGUAGAAGGGCAGCAGGGCCCCGUUGCUCGAGUCCAGUUCCUGCAGGGCCAUGGGUUCCUCGAGGUUUUCCUGGCACAUUGCAGGCAGUCAGGCCAAGCAGAACCUCCUCACCCCCUAAUCCCAAACCAGGACGGGCCUUAGCUGGCCUCACUAAGGCCAGCCAGCACUGCCCCUAAAUGCAGGUGGGCCCUCUGCCGUCUCUAUGCCUUUUCCCACAUGAGGACCCCUACCUGGCCCUCCUGGCUUCACUUUAUUCCCAGGGUCCCUCUUUUCCAGCCUCCUCCAGGCCUUAAGACUAUGCCCAGGCCACUGAGCAAGUGCUGAAACAUACCCCACUGUGGGGAGCUGGGGUGCCAGCGGCACCAGCCCCUGCUCAAGGUGCCCUGGAGGUCACUAUGCAGAAGCAGAGAGGGCUGGGGCCAGGAGGCUUGCUGGAGGAGGAGGCUUUCUGGAGGAGCAGGGAGCCCUGUGCAGGCAGUGGGUGGUACAGGCAAGCAAGGGAGAGAAGGGCCCUUCCGUUGGCAUGAACAACAUGGGCAAAGACACGGAGGCAGUGGGAGGCCAUGGGGGAGUGGUGGGGCAGUCGGGCGAGCAGGGGGCAGGAGAGGAAAGUCUGACAGAGUCCCAGGCCCUGAGAGCCUCAAGUUCCAGGCAGAGAAGCUAGGAACCACAGGCCUCCCCAGGGUGAACCCUGCCUGCCUGGACCAGGGUGGGGCCCAAGUCUCAAGUUUGCCCCCUCAGGCUGGCCACUCACUGGGUCCCAGAGUGCCAGCUGCCGCUCGCUCAUUCGGCUGAAGCCUGUGGUGAACACCUUGCCAUCUGCCAGGAAGAUGGCCCGCAUGGGCCGGGCCCCCUCAUGAGCCUUCUCCCGCUCCUGUCGGGGGGACAGGCUGGUCAGUGCAGCACCCUGCUCAAGGCCCUGGGCCUAUCCACAGCCAUCCUUGCCCUCCAGAGCCACGUACUGCCACCAGGGUGCCCCGACGGGGGUCGAUGAUGCGCACACUCUUGUCCUUGCAUGCUGAGCAAAACAGGCUGCCACUGUGGUUCCAGCUGACAUUGUAGAUGAGGUCAGGGUGCAGGCUGUCCAGGCGGUACAGCUCCUCCGCUGUGCCCACAUUCCAGAUGAGUACCACGUUGUCGCAGCCUGGCAGGUGAGGGUUGUCAGCUCAGGCCGGGCGGGUGGCAGGAGGCCAUUAGCUCACCAGGCUGAGGCCCACUCUGCCCACCACCCUGGGACAGACGGGUCUCUCCAACUCUGAGGGCCUCAGCUUUCCCAUUUGUCAUGUGGGCCCUGGAGGGGCUGCUGGGAUGUAUGGAGGGGUCCGGGGGGGGGGGGAGCACAAAACGGGGGGCGGUGCAGACCUGCACUGAGCAGCACGUUUCGGGCCGUGGGGUGCCAGGUGAUGAUGCCCACUCGCUUGGUGUGCCCCUCCAGUACCACCACCGGCUCUGUCAGCGGGGAGGUCAGCCCGUUCUCUGGGAUCUGCCACACCUGUGGUAGGGACAGGGCCACCGAGCUCAGUCCUCUGCUGGUCCUAUUGCUGGCCCCCUUUGGCCACGCCCGCGACCCUGGCCCAGCCAGUCCUGUGCCUCACCAUGACCGUGCAGUCCUCCGAGCCGCUGGCUAUGACUUCGUCGUUGUGAGGACACCAAUCGAUGUCCAGGACAGGUCCUGUGUGCCCACACACCGUCGGGUAGGCCUUGUCAAUGCGGCCCGUCUGUGGGCACGAGGGGGCAGUCAGUGGGCUCCAUCCCUCCCGAAGCCUUGGUCUUCCCCUCCAUGGUGUGGGAAUGACAUGCACGUCCCGGCUCACAGGUGGCCCAGAUGUGACUGUGCCCCACUUGCCAGGUGAGCAGGAAAUGUUUGCUGCCUCUAACCCUGCCCCUAUGGCAACAGGCUACUCUCCAUCUGUGCUAACACCUGGGGCGAUAAAUCUGGGUUAUAACACCUGCCCAGCAGUGUGAGAAACGGCAAGAUGAGGGAUUCAAGGUGAGCAGAAAGGCCCAGCAGGGGUAGCCGAGGUGCCUCCUCUUCCCCCAACCCUGACAGGACCCACCUUGCUUAGGGGGAGCACCAGAAAGGCACCCCCUCCACUGGCCUCCACAAUCACCGCCAGGAACUUGGGGUUGACGGCGCAGAAGGUGCUGUCCCAGGUAACACGGGACACGCGAAUGUCCUCAUAGCACUGGUCGUUCUUGACCGGCUGCCCGAACACAUGCCGGAAUUUGCUCUGCCGGACCACUUUGCGGAAGGACAUGUCUGCGGGACAGAGAGGCCUGGGUCAGUCCGGCCCAUCCCAACAACUCCAGCCCUCCCCAGGCUGCUGAAGUGGCAUCCGCAGGAGUCUCCAGGAUUGGGUGAGGCCCCGCCUUCCCGGCCCCCGACGGAACGCACACCUCCAAGGGGCCCCAUUACCGCCCCCAACAAAUAAAUGUAGAAUCUACACGGA
Molecule: long non-coding RNA, 5115 nt
Organism: Pan troglodytes (chimpanzee)
Lineage: Eukaryota; Metazoa; Chordata; Mammalia; Primates; Hominidae
Exons: 3
Source: RefSeq, a predicted model, not a curated record